RNAcentral lists this ribosomal RNA (476 nucleotides) under Porphyromonas canoris. RNAcentral's name for it is "bacterial SSU rRNA". It matches the Rfam family "Bacterial small subunit ribosomal RNA", at positions 9 to 474 of the family's 1533-position model. The record is from RNAcentral. Lineage: Bacteria; Pseudomonadati; Bacteroidota; Bacteroidia; Bacteroidales; Porphyromonadaceae.
GAGUUUGAUCAUGGCUCAGGAUGAACGCUAGCGAUAGGCUUAACACAUGCAAGUCGAGGGGCAGCAUAGAGUCAGCUUGCUGAUUUAGAUGGCGACCGGCGGAUGGGUGCGUAACGCGUAUGCAACUUACCUGUCAGAGGGGGAUAACCCGGAGAAAUUCGAACUAAUACCGCAUAUACUUGAGAUGCUGCAUGGUAUUUCAAGGAAAUAUUUAUAGCUGACAGAUAGGCAUGCGAUCCAUUAGCUAGUAGGUGAGGUAACGGCUCACCUAGGCGACGAUGGAUAGGGGAACUGAGAGGUUAAACCCCCACACUGGUACUGAGACACGGACCAGACUCCUACGGGAGGCAGCAGUGAGGAAUAUUGGUCAAUGGGCGAGAGCCUGAACCAGCCAAUUCGCGUGAAGGACGACUGCCCUAUGGGUUGUAAACUUCUUUAGUAGGGGAUUAAAGUUUGCCUUGCGAGGCAAUUUGCAA